GCGUAUCUCCUGAUGAAACCAAUACGGAUGUAAAUCACAACUUGUCCGAGAGCGCUUAAACUCGUGUGGAUAUUUCCGUUGCCUUCCUUCUGAUCUUCGUGCU
RNAcentral lists this small nucleolar RNA (103 nucleotides) under Gloeophyllum trabeum ATCC 11539. RNAcentral's name for it is "Small nucleolar RNA Z13/snr52". It matches the Rfam family "Small nucleolar RNA Z13/snr52". Rfam says of the family: Z13 or snr52 is a member of the C/D class of snoRNA which contain the C (UGAUGA) and D (CUGA) box motifs. Lineage: Eukaryota; Fungi; Basidiomycota; Agaricomycetes; Gloeophyllales; Gloeophyllaceae. The record is from Rfam by way of RNAcentral.